GAUGAACGCUGGCGGCGUGCCUAAUACAUGCAAGUCGAGCGAACGGACGAGAAGCUUGCUUCUCUGAUGUUAGCGGCGGACGGGUGAGUAACACGUGGAUACCCUACCUAUAAGACUGGGAUAACUUCGGGAAACCGGAGCUAAUACCGGAUAAUAUUUUGAACCGCAUGGUUCAAAAGUGAAAGACGGUCUUGCUGUCACUUCUAGAUGGAUCCGCGCUGUAUUAGCUAGUUGGGAGGUAACGGCUUACCAAGGCAACGAUGGAUAGACGAACUGAGAGGGUGAUAGGCCGCACUGGAGCUGAGACAGGGUCCAGACUACUAAGGGAGGCCGCAGUAGGGAACGUUCCGCAAUGGGCGAAAGCCUGACGGAGCGGCGCCGCGUGAGUGAUGAAGGUCUUCGGAUCGUAAAACUCUGUUAUUAGGGAAGAACAUAUGUGUAAGUAACUGUGCACAUCUUGACGGUACCUAAUCAGAAAGCAACGGCUAACUACGUG
RNAcentral lists this ribosomal RNA (496 nucleotides) under uncultured bacterium. RNAcentral's name for it is "partial 16S ribosomal RNA". It matches the Rfam family "Bacterial small subunit ribosomal RNA", at positions 28 to 507 of the family's 1533-position model. The record is from RNAcentral.